GGUUUCGUGGUGUAGUGGUUAUCACGUCUGCUUAACACGCAGAAGGUCGCGAGUUCGAGCCUCGCCGAAACCU
RNAcentral lists this transfer RNA (73 nucleotides) under Patella vulgata (common limpet). RNAcentral describes it as "misc RNA ENSPVUG00005026483.1". It matches the Rfam family "tRNA". From Rfam's summary of the family: Transfer RNA (tRNA) molecules are approximately 80 nucleotides in length. RNAcentral also lists the same sequence under 2 other names. The record is from RNAcentral. Lineage: Eukaryota; Metazoa; Mollusca; Gastropoda; Patellidae.